AGUGAACGCUGGCGGUAGGCCUAACACAUGCAAGUCGAACGGCAGCACAGUAAGAGCCUGCUCUUACGGGUGGCGAGUGGCGGACGGGUGAGGAAUACAUCGGAAUCUACUUUUUCGUGGGGGAUAACGUAGGGAAACUUACGCUAAUACCGCAUACGACCUACGGGUGAAAGCAGGGGAUCUUCGGACCUUGCGCGAUUGAAUGAGCCGAUGUCGGAUUAGCUAGUUGGCGGGGUAAAGGCCCACCAAGGCGACGAUCCGUAGCUGGUCUGAGAGGAUGGUCAGCCACACUGGAACUGAGACACGGUCCAGACUCCUACGGGAGGCAGCAGUGGGGAAUAUGGGACAAUGGGCGCAAGCCUGAUCCAGCCAUGCCGCGUGGGUGAAGAAGGCCUUCGGGUUGUAAAGCCCUUUUGUGGGGAAAGAAAAGCAGCAGGUUAAUACCCCGCUGUUCUGACGGUACCCAAAGAAUAAGCACCGGCUAACUUCGUG
RNAcentral lists this ribosomal RNA (492 nucleotides) under uncultured bacterium. RNAcentral's name for it is "partial 16S ribosomal RNA". It matches the Rfam family "Bacterial small subunit ribosomal RNA", at positions 29 to 507 of the family's 1533-position model. The record is from RNAcentral.